CAGCGGCUCCUAGGAAAGUCGGCAGCGUGCCGCUUCGGGUGAUUCCGGAGCCGCUCCCUGCCGGUCCAGGGACGCUCCGCAGCAGCGGCUGCUCAACGCCAGCACCGCGCGCCACCAACCGCCGAGCUCGCGGCUUCCACUGCGGCCGAGAGCGCUUUACAAUGGCUGGGGGACGGGGCAGGGCUGGGAGCGGACGGCGACGCCUGUCAGUCCACGGCGGCAAUGAGCCGAUCGGAUGCCGCGAGGCGCUCGGGGGCAGCUGCGAGCCAAUCGGGUGCCGCGACGCGCGCAGCGGCGGCUGGCAGCAAAAGCGGUCCGUGGUCCCGGGACGGGCUCGGGCGUAAAACCGACCGAGGAAAUAGGCGAGGGGCAGCCUGGAUUGGAAGCGGGGGGAGAACAUCGCUGAGCCGGCGGUCCAAGCGCCGACUGCAAGCCCGCACCUCAGCGCCUCGGAGAAACGGGUGCC
This 466-nucleotide long non-coding RNA is filed under the name Numida meleagris (helmeted guineafowl). Its description in RNAcentral is "lncRNA (ENSNMEG00000020013.1)". The record is from RNAcentral. Lineage: Eukaryota; Metazoa; Chordata; Aves; Galliformes; Numididae.